Long non-coding RNA from Oncorhynchus tshawytscha (Chinook salmon), 721 nucleotides. The record is from Ensembl. NCBI's taxonomy places the organism in Eukaryota, Metazoa, Chordata, Actinopteri, Salmoniformes, Salmonidae.
ACACAACCUACUGGGCAAUAACUGGUUGGAUCAACCUUGUUUUAAGUCAUUUUAACCCCCAAAAUAUAUGUGAAGACGUUGAAUCAGUCUGGAAAACUGAUUGGAAUUGCAGAAACAUAUAAACGUUAAAUCAGCUGUUUUGGUGAACCCCUUCCGCAUCUGAACUGGCUGACACAGAGGGCACAGCAUGAUCAUAGAGGACCUGAGCCCUAGGACCAUGCCUCAGGACUACCUGACAUAAUGACUCCUUGCUGUCCCCAGUCCACUUGGCCGUGCUGCUGCUCCAGUUUCAACUGUUCUGCCUUAUUAUUAUUGGACCAUGCUGGUCAUUUAUGAACAUUUGAACAUCUUGGCCAUGUUCUGUUAUAAUCUCCACCCGGCACAGCCAAAAGAGGACUGGCCACCCCACAUAGCCUGGUUCCUCUCUAGGUUUCUUCCUAUGGAGUUUUUCCUAGCCACUGUGCUUCUCCACCUGCAUUGCUUGCUCUUUGGGGUUUUAGGCUGGGUUUCUGUACAGCACUUUGAGAUAUCAGCUGAUGUACGAAGGGCAAUAUAAAUACAUUUGAUUAGAUUUUUUUAGUGCAGCUCAUCCAGGAUGGCACAUCAAUGCGAGCUGUGGCAAGAAGGUUUGCUGUGUCUGUCAGCGUAGCGUCCAGAGCAAGGAGGCGCUACUAGGAGACAGGCCAGUACAUCAGGAGAUGUGGAGGAGGCUGUAGGAGGG